RNAcentral lists this ribosomal RNA (482 nucleotides) under uncultured Flavobacteriaceae bacterium. Its description in RNAcentral is "bacterial SSU rRNA". It matches the Rfam family "Bacterial small subunit ribosomal RNA", at positions 28 to 505 of the family's 1533-position model. The record is from RNAcentral. Lineage: Bacteria; Pseudomonadati; Bacteroidota; Flavobacteriia; Flavobacteriales; Flavobacteriaceae.
GAUGAACGCUAGCGGCAGGCUUAACACAUGCAAGUCGAGGGGUAACAGGUAGUGCUUGCACUAUGCUGACGACCGGCGCACGGGUGCGUAACGCGUAUACAAUCUACCUUUUGCUGAGGGAUAGCCCAGAGAAAUUUGGAUUAAUACCUCAUGGUAUCAUAUUAUCACCUGAUAAAAUGAUUAAAGGUUACGGCAAAAGAUGAGUAUGCGUCCUAUUAGCUAGAUGGUAAGGUAACGGCUUACCAUGGCAACGAUAGGUAGGGGCCCUGAGAGGGGGAUCCCCCACACUGGUACUGAGACACGGACCAGACUCCUACGGGAGGCAGCAGUGAGGAAUAUUGGACAAUGGAGGCAACUCUGAUCCAGCCAUGCCGCGUGCAGGAAGACUGCCCUAUGGGUUGUAAACUGCUUUUAUACAGGAAGAAACCUAUCUACGUGUAGAUAGCUGACGGUACUGUAAGAAUAAGGAUCGGCUAACUCCG